AAAGCCAUUCUCAGUUCGGAUUGCAGGCUGCAACUCGCCUGCAUGAAGCCGGAAUCGCUAGUAAUCGCGGAUCAGCAUGCCGCGGUGAAUACGUUCCCGGGCCUUGUACACACCGCCCGUCACACCACGAGAGUUGGUAACACCCGAAGUCGGUGAGGUAACCUUUUAGGAGCCAGCCGCCGAAGGUGGGAUCAAUGAUUGGGGUGAAGUCGUAACAAGGUAGCCGUAUCGGAAGGUGCGGCUGGAUCACCUCCUUUCUAAGGA
RNAcentral lists this ribosomal RNA (264 nucleotides) under Terribacillus saccharophilus. RNAcentral's name for it is "partial 16S ribosomal RNA". It matches the Rfam family "Bacterial small subunit ribosomal RNA", at positions 1278 to 1533 of the family's 1533-position model. The record is from RNAcentral. Lineage: Bacteria; Bacillati; Bacillota; Bacilli; Caryophanales; Bacillaceae.